AGGAUUAGCACCCUGAUAAAAGAGACCACACAGCUCUCUCCCAGGCUCUUUCCAACACCUGAAGACGGCUCUAAUGAACCAGAAAGUGGACUCUCACCAGACAUCAAAUCACCAGUCACCUUGAUCUUGGACUUCCUAAUCUCCAGAACUAUGUCCCCAAAGACCUCAGUCUAUCUUCUUGAAGAACUGUAGCUUUUUAAGGAGAAACAAUCACCUAUCCUGAAAUGCUUUCUGAUACCUCAGGAGCAAUCCGGCAACGCAGAAAGAAUUAUUCAAAGAUCAGCACUGUUGAG
This 293-nucleotide long non-coding RNA is filed under the name Mustela putorius furo (domestic ferret). RNAcentral's name for it is "lncRNA (ENSMPUG00000029639.1)". Lineage: Eukaryota; Metazoa; Chordata; Mammalia; Carnivora; Mustelidae. The record is from RNAcentral.